UGCAUGGUGUGUUUACACCUACUAUUUAACGCAUUGUAAUCAUAGGCGAACAGUUACAGUUCAGCCUAUAUACACACUACAACAAUUACAACAGCGCAGAUCAACACCAGGGUCUACAAAUGAAGACAUUAAUAGUAUUGUUGAGCCUUGUAGCAGGCAUUCAUUGCUUCCCUAAACUAUUUGAUAAAGGUCAAGUACAGACAAUUUCCUUCCGUUUUGCAGACAGAAACUCCAACAGAUAUGUGGAUUUUGAUGAGUUCAAAAUAGAACUCCGGAAGUACGAUACAAAUUAUGAUGACCAGCUAUCUGAGAAUGAAUUGAGUAAUUGUAUAAUACCAUGGAACUGGUUUAAUACAACUUCAGUUUCUACUGAUGCUGAUUAUAGAAACGCUUUUACAAAAUUGGAUACAAACCAAGAUGGUCAACUAACAUAUGAAGAAUCCCGACAGAACGAAUAGAACAGAUCAAGCAUGAUGAAUAUUUUAAAAAAAAAAUUAAAGAUGCAUUAUGUAAGAAUUAGAUAAAGAGCGGACAGUUCUCGCUAUAAUAGGUCGAAAAUUGAUAAUGAAAAGGGAAUAUAUUGAAAAUGUCAGUCAAAUUACUUAAUCCUGAGCGAAGUUAUGACUGUUUGAAGAACCACGUAGUCUUGAUUUUCAUUGCUAUCAUUGUUAUGAUAAUAAACAAAGUCUAGAUUAUCCAUUAUUAAAUUAAAUAAUUAAAUGGCGAUCAUGUUUCAAUCCGUUCAAAGUCCCAACCAUUGUAUGGUCUAGAGAGUUGAUUAUGAGUUUGUCAUGUAAUUAAAUGUCUAAAUUAAUAAUUUAAGGUCAAAUUUUAGCUCUUACAUAAUGCAUCAUUAAGUUAUUACUGCCUUGUUGUUAUUAAAAUCUCUUUAUUUUAAAAGUACUGCCAAAGGCGGUACACAAUUACGCAUUUUAUAAAAGUGAUUUCGAAACUUCAAUUUCUUCAACAUACCAAGUUUAGCAUUUCUUAUAAGUAUAUUAUCGACUACAUAUUGAAUAAUGAUCUAAUUUAAUAUUCAUUUUAAAUUUUCUAUAGUUUCCUAAUCCUAUCUAGAUUAUCGCCCUUAUUUUAUGCCUUUAUAUAAAUACACAUUCAUAGUAGCCUACGAUUUCUUCAGCAUACCUGUUUUACAUUUCUUGUAGGGGUAUUACGUAUUAUAUUUUGUGCAAUUACAUAGCUGAAUAAUUUCAAUUAGUUCCUGAAUGGAUAGCUUAUUAACCUUUUGGGGUUAUCUUAUCUGGAUUAUCGACCUUUGACGUUAUUGGCAACCUACGGCCUUUUACGUCACGUCAUUCAGUCAGCAGACAGCUGUCUUUCGAGACAGUUUACAUUUUCUCAUUUGCUUCUUUGUAUUUAGUUUCGUUUGUUUUUUACUCUGUUUUUGUGAUAAAUCAAACAUAAUUGAGAUAGAGAGAGAAAUAGGGUUUAAUGUCCACUCGACACAAACUAAGUCAUUUUGGGUCUAACAUAUAGUUCAAUUUUAUUUCAAUAAUUCACUUGCGCAUAGGGGUCUUUAGCAGUGGGAGGAAACCGGAGGACCCAGAGAAAACCCACGAUGUUGGACAGACAACCCUACUCCUUAUCACAUACCACCGGGGAAUCGAAACCAAGCCAGUUGACUCAAUGACAGACCAUAUGAUACGGAUAAAACACGCACGUGCUAACCAUUCAGCCAUCCACCCACCACCCCUCAGGUGCAUUAGGUGAGAGAAAUUUUGCCCUGAGGGUGGCGUUACGGCCAACUCUUGGAUAUUCCCCCGAUCCAUGCAACUUGAAAACAUUCCCUUGCUAGGUCCUCCAUCCUGCUCCACUUAAGAACUCUAUCUGCCACCUACCAAGCCAGGUCAACAAAAAACAAGACCAUAAAUAAUAUCUUUCAUUGUUUUAUUUAAUGUCAACAGAAAAUAUUGGUACAAAAAGCCAUAACAACUAGAGUAGUUUAUGUGUAUUUAUAAACCUAUAAUGGUAAAUCUCUUUGAUCUUUGGGGUAUAUUCAAUACUUGAAAUAACUUGCGGUCUGAAAAUCAGGGGCGGCUUUAGAUAUAUACAGGGAAAUUUGGGGUUAUUCUUCUGAAACUUGCUAGAACAGUUCGAAAAUAGAUAAUUCAAAAUGAAUAUGUUGAAAAUUACUUUAUUCUGAGCAAAGAUAUUCGCCUUUGAAGGUUUGACAAGAUGUGUGCACUGAUUAUAACUACCCUACUGGUUGUUCUAAGCUUAGCCUCACUUCACCAUUUUUAGAUUAAAUCAUUAAAUAGUUGAACAUUU
Molecule: long non-coding RNA, 2286 nt
Organism: Patella vulgata (common limpet)
Lineage: Eukaryota; Metazoa; Mollusca; Gastropoda; Patellidae
Exons: 5
Source: RefSeq, a predicted model, not a curated record